UUUAAUACAGGGAAUAGUCCCUGGCCUGUUCACUCUAGGAGCCCAUUACCAUGGCACUGAGCGUUGAAGAAAAAGCCCAAAUCGUAACCGACUACAAGCAAGCUGAA
RNAcentral lists this non-coding RNA (107 nucleotides) under Pseudomonas sp. 8AS. Its description in RNAcentral is "S15". It matches the Rfam family "Ribosomal S15 leader". Rfam says of the family: The E. coli Ribosomal S15 gene 5' UTR can form two alternative structures. One that is a series of three hairpins, The other includes a pseudoknot. Lineage: Bacteria; Pseudomonadati; Pseudomonadota; Gammaproteobacteria; Pseudomonadales; Pseudomonadaceae. The record is from RNAcentral.